GAUGAACGCUGACAGAAUGCUUAACACAUGCAAGUCCACUUGAAUUUGGGUUUUUAACUUCGGUUUGGGUGGCGGACGGGUGAGUAACGCGUAAAGAACUUGCCUCACAGCUAGGGACAACAUUUGGAAACGAAUGCUAGUACCUAAUAUUAUGAUAAUAGGGCAUCCUAUAAUUAUGAAAGCUAUAAGCGCUGUGAGAGAGCUUUGCGUCCCAUUAGCUAGUUGGAGAGGUAACGGCUCACCAAGGCGAUGAUGGGUAGCCGGCCUGAGAGGGUGAUCGGCCACAAGGGGACUGAGACACGGCCCUUACUCCUACGGGAGGCAGCAGUGGGGAAUAUUGGACAAUGGACCGAGAGUCUGAUCCAGCAAUUCUGUGUGCACGAUGAAGUUUUUCGGAAUGUAAAGUGCUUUCAGUUGGGAAGAAACAAAUGACGGUACCAACAGAAGAAGUGACGGCUAAAUACGUG
Molecule: ribosomal RNA, 467 nt
Filed under: uncultured bacterium
Lineage: Bacteria
Description: partial 16S ribosomal RNA
Rfam family: Bacterial small subunit ribosomal RNA
Source: RNAcentral